UUUUCUUCUAUCAAUUCCCUAAGCUGUUUUUCCAGCUGAAAAGAGAAUGGAGAGGUACAUGGUGCAUGAAAUUGUGCAGUCCUGCAAUUAACACUGUCACAAGGGUUGGAAAAUUUCAGGUGAGGAAAAGUACCUUUUUAAUCUGUGCAUCCUUCUCUCUUAAAGCUUCAGCAUGACUUGUGCAAGAGGCUGACUCCGGCAAUUUCAGUUCAUUUUCUAAUCUUGCAAGCUCUCUUUGUAGAUGCUUCAGUAGUGCUUUGUCAGACAUCACUACAUUGACCUGUGCAUUUGUAACUACCUCCUUUGCGCAAGUCGCAAACAGAAGUGUGUUCCUGGAUUGCUCAAUAUGAGUGUG
RNAcentral lists this long non-coding RNA (355 nucleotides) under Triticum aestivum (bread wheat). RNAcentral's name for it is "long non-coding RNA (TAES_LNC016053)". Lineage: Eukaryota; Viridiplantae; Streptophyta; Magnoliopsida; Poales; Poaceae. The record is from RNAcentral.